GAAUACGUUCCCGGGCCUUGUACACACCGCCCGUCACACCACGAAAGUUUGUUGUACCCGAAGUCGGUGCCUUAACCUCGCAAGAGGAGAGAGCCGCCCAAGGUAUGGCCGAUGAUUGGGGUGAAGUCGUAACAAGGUAGCCGUAGGGGAACCUGCGGCUGGAUCACCUCCUUUCUAGGAGAGAAGGGUCCUGGAUGAAGCGCUCCUAUUUAGUCUUGUGAAGGAUCCGAGUGGAAGCCGGGACCGGAGAAAGACCGGGCCUGUAGCUCAGAUGGUGAGAGCGCACGCCUGAUAAGCGUGAGGUCGAUAGUUCGAAUCUAUCCAGGCCCACCAUCUGCGGGGAUGUAGCUCAGUUGGGAGAGCGCCUGCUUUGCAAGCAGGAGGUCAGCGGUUCGAUCCCGCUCAUCUCCACCACGGAGAAGGGACACGGCCGGAGAGAAAGAGGUCC
RNAcentral lists this ribosomal RNA (448 nucleotides) under uncultured bacterium. RNAcentral describes it as "partial 16S ribosomal RNA". The stretch from base 1 to 174 matches the Rfam family "Bacterial small subunit ribosomal RNA", at positions 1364 to 1533 of the family's 1533-position model. The record is from RNAcentral.